GCAACGAGCGCAACCCUUGUCAUUAGUUGCUACAGUUCAGUUGGGCAACUCUAAUGAGACUGCCGGUGACGAAGCCGGAGGAAGGUGGGGAUGACGUCAAGUCCUCAUGGCCCUUAUAGGUGGGGCUACACACGUCAUACAAUGGCUAGUACAAGGUGCAACCCGCGAGGGGGGACGACCAAUCCCAUAAAGCCAGUCGUAGUCCGGAUCGUAGUCUGCAACUCGACUACGUGAAGUCGGAAUCGCUAGUAAUCGUGGAUCAGAAUGUCACGGUGAAUACGUUCCCGGGUCUU
RNAcentral lists this ribosomal RNA (293 nucleotides) under uncultured Rhodoferax sp. RNAcentral describes it as "partial 16S ribosomal RNA". It matches the Rfam family "Bacterial small subunit ribosomal RNA", at positions 1089 to 1382 of the family's 1533-position model. The record is from RNAcentral. Lineage: Bacteria; Pseudomonadati; Pseudomonadota; Betaproteobacteria; Burkholderiales; Comamonadaceae.